UAGGGAAUCUUCGGCAAUGGGGGGAACCCUGACCGAGCAACGCCGCGUGAGUGAAGAAGGUUUUCGGAUCGUAAAGCUCUGUUGUUAAGGAAGAACGAGUGUGAGAAUGGAAAGUUCAUACUGUGACGGUAUCUAACCAGAAAGCCACGGCUAACUACGUGCCAGCAGCCGCGGUAAUACGUAGGUGGCAAGCGUUGUCCGGAUUUAUUGGGCGUAAAGCGAGCGCAGGCGGUCAAUUAAGUCUGAUGUGAAAGCCCCCGGCUCAACCGGGGAGGGACAUUGGAAACGGGUUGAAUUGAGUGCAGAAGAGGAGAGUGGAAUUCCAUGUGAAGAGGUGAAAUGCGUAGAUAGAUGGAGGAAAACCAGUGGCGAAGGCGACUCUCUGGUCUGUAACUGACGCUGAGGUUCGAAAGCGUGGGUAGCAAACAGG
RNAcentral lists this ribosomal RNA (430 nucleotides) under Bacteroidota bacterium. RNAcentral describes it as "Bacteroidetes bacterium partial 16S ribosomal RNA". It matches the Rfam family "Bacterial small subunit ribosomal RNA", at positions 355 to 776 of the family's 1533-position model. Lineage: Bacteria; Pseudomonadati; Bacteroidota. The record is from RNAcentral.